UUUAAAGACUUCGACAAAAGCUGUGUGUGCAUAUUUUUGGGUCGGCUUAGACCAAUUAAAUCCACACAUUGUGAGCACCUAACUGGAGGAAUCUAAUUACAACCUACCGCCAAGCCAAGCCCAGCCCAGCCCAGCCCAUCAUACACAGUCUGGAGUCUGGACCUUACACUGCCUUCCACGAAAGAGUUCCUUAGAAGCUCCAGGACAACAGCAGCAGCAGCAGCCCGCCUGACCCAGCUGGAUCAUUGUACGCCGGCUGCACCCUGGUGCGUUUUUUCUUUACAGGAGACAGGAGCCUCACCGAGAGCUCCGCACACCGGUUCCCAAGCUGUCUCUUCGGCUGCUUCCCGCGUUUAUUAUGGACAAUGAUGAGGACGAUGAUGGGAACUUCACCAAGUGGAUGAGCAGCUACUGGGGGCACGGGGUAGGGGAGGAGCACGCCAAAGAUAGGAAGAGAAGUUUUAGGAGGCCCUCACGCAACAAAGCUGACCGCCGUGCCUCUUUGCCCUGCAUGGUAAGUCUCAGCUAGAAGCAAUGCAGGCGAAUCAUCUCCAUGCUAACACCAUGGCCCAUGGCCCUGUCCACCUAAAGGGCCGUGAGGAGAAGGAGGUGCACUCUCAUCCUCGUGCCCGCCGUGUGUCUUCAGACGAAAACAGCCGAACCAAAGUGGUGGGACCUGAAUGUCACAUCAGCACCAUUCCAGAGCUCACGGAGUGCUUAGAGAAGAGGCUGCGUUUCAAUAACCAGAAGGGUGAUGCAGAUAGCAUAUGUCUUAUUUGCCAUGAAGAACUACGGAAUGGAAGGGGUGGCAUCCGAGAACUUCACUGUGGCCAUCAUUUUCAUAAAGAGGCAAAAUGGCCGGAGCACAGCGCACGUCCACGUAGUGGGAGUUCUGCACCUGCUUGUGAGCGAGGAAAAGAGAUACCGUUCUGCCCUGGACAGGAGGAAUAUAACUUACCCCGUCGCCAACUCUCUUUACGUAGACAACGUUGAUUGUUUUUUUGUUUAAAAUACACUCUGCAAAAUAAAAGUUCUUUAUAUUUAUUAUUUAGAUAUAAAGAACCUUUACCAUCUGUGGAACCUUUCCAUUGCACAAAAGGUUCUUUAUAGUAUAUAAAAAAUAAAUGAAAAAACUAACAUUUAUGUUUUAAAGAGUGUACAGUAUGUAUGAAAAGUAGUUAAACUAAACAGUAAUCACUCAGUAUAUUAUCAAAAAACGUGUUAAUUGUCAGUUUUAGUUUGUGUUUAGCUUCACUACUAUUGCUUUAAAAAAUUAUUUAUUUUCCCAAUCAAAGUCAUUUACAUUUUAUAAAUACUGCUGUUUGAAAUGUCAUGAUUUUGUACUUUUGUCCUUUUCCUAUAUGGUGAGAAUUAUAUAAACCAUAAUAUGUUUUUAUAGUCUGUGUAUUACUAAACUGUCAAUCAAAUUUAGUUUUUCAGAAUUAAUAUGCAUUGAUUGUUGCUAUUAUUCAUGAUCCUGUUGUUCAUUUUAUACAGCUAUUUUGGAUUAGAAAACCAAACUGUGAAUAUAAGAUGUUUUGGCUUGUUUUUGAUUUGGAAUUACGAAUGCUGUGUGAAUAUGGUAAAAUCCUGAAUUUGCAGGUCAUAUGUCAGGAGUUGCAUUUAUAAAGCUACAGUUGCUUGUCAAAUGCACAUGCUGGAAAUUAGCUGGUGGCAGCUAAUCAUAUACCACUGUAAUGGAAAUCAAUGAUGGGUCACAGUUCUGCCCCUCAAAGAUCAACAGAUCGUUUUUUCAUGCAAGCAGGUGUCAUGCAAGUGCAAUCAUGCCUCUGCUAUGGGUCUUAGUGAUAUAAAUGUUUAUAUAACAUUUUUAAAAGACAUUUAAAAAACAUUUAGUUUAGCUGACCAUUAUUUCCUUUAGUAUUUAUCUUGCAUAGGCUACACUACAAGUCAUCUGUUUGUAAUUCAUAAAUAUAUUUGUGGACAAAUCUUUUUUUUUUUUUCAAGAAUUUAAGCAUAAAUAUGCAAAACAAAAGGUUUUUAACAUCAUGUAAACUUAAAUAUAGACUGAUAGUGUGUUUUACUAAGCUUGCAGUUCUUUAAAAGCAAUAAAUGUUGCAAUAUGUUUAGCAUGUGCAGAUGUAUGUAUCAAUAGUUUUCAGUUUUUAUUUACAGCCAUUCUGGCUUUGAAUGACCCUCCAUAAUUUGGCUUUCCUUUCUUUCAG
Cyprinus carpio carpio is the source of this 2186-nucleotide long non-coding RNA. The record is from Ensembl. NCBI's taxonomy places the organism in Eukaryota, Metazoa, Chordata, Actinopteri, Cypriniformes, Cyprinidae.